This 253-nucleotide ribosomal RNA is filed under the name uncultured bacterium. Its description in RNAcentral is "partial 16S ribosomal RNA". It matches the Rfam family "Bacterial small subunit ribosomal RNA", at positions 524 to 776 of the family's 1533-position model. The record is from RNAcentral.
UACGUAGGGGGCAAGCGUUGUCCGGAUUUAUUGGGCGUAAAGAGCGUGUAGGCGGCCAGACAGGUCCGUUGUGAAAACUCGAGGCUCAACCUCGAGAUGUCGAUGGAAACCGUCUGGCUAGAGUCCGGAAGAGGAGUGUGGAAUUCCUGGUGUAGCGGUGGAAUGCGCAGAUAUCAGGAGGAACACCGAUGGCGAAGGCAGCUCGCUGGGACGGUACUGACGCUGAGACGCGAAAGCGUGGGGAGCGAACAGG